RNAcentral lists this long non-coding RNA (2601 nucleotides) under Daphnia pulicaria. RNAcentral describes it as "uncharacterized LOC124350320, transcript variant X5". The record is from RNAcentral. Lineage: Eukaryota; Metazoa; Arthropoda; Branchiopoda; Diplostraca; Daphniidae.
CAACUGUUGUUUUUAAACGCGUAGGUCACGGUCACACGGCACAGAUGUUGAAGCUAAGAAUCUGACAUUAUCAGCAUACUGUUGCAAUUUUACAAACGUGCAGAGUUUAUGGUGAGCAUUUGGCAAAUAGUCAAAUAAGUCCGUUUACGCAACGUUUUCUUUGUUUCUCGAUUACCCCAAUAGUAUAUGUGUUAUCGGUGGGUAUCCCGUUAAUCCUACACGUGGUUAAGUGCAACAGUCAAGUCAAGGAAGUGUGAAAGUCGUGGAAGAAUUUCACAUUAGUGAAAUGAGUUACAGAUUCUUUCACUUGCAUUGGAUGCUUCCCCCAUGUUGGAAGAGGAGCAAUUGCUAGAAGAUUUUAUUCUGUGAGUUUAAUUGGGCCAACAUCACAUAGCUCAAAUAUGUAGUCUACACCUUUAAGUUUAAGUACAGUGUGACUGUUGGAGUGACCUUGUGCUUGUGAAGAAUCCAGUGCAGAAUUAAAUUUUUUUUUUCCAAAAACAGUGCUUUGCCUGAAAUGUCACUAAUUGCAAUCUUCUGCCUACGUUAACAUGUGUCACUUUCACAUCAGGCAAGAAAAUAUUGCUGCUGAAGAAAAUGCUAUACAGUGAGAAGAAACUAGAAAAACAGAUAUUGUUGUCAAAAGGUUAGGAUUAUCAUCAUACAGCCCAGUUUUCACCUGCCGCUCCAGCCAAUCUCCCUAACAUGAGCAACAAGAUUGUUGAGUAAGAUGUUUGCAACUCUUGAUUACUCUGAAAUCUGGUUCCUUACACAUUGUUGUUGAACAAACUGCCAGCCAGGAAAAAAUUAGGACACGAGCUAUCACUUCCACUCAAUAAAAACCAGGCGUCAGAGGACGGAGACACCACACAAGUUCGCACAAUAACCAUUCCGUCAUAAUGUUGCUGACUGUUCGUCCCAUGUUGUUGCGAUCGCCUGCCAUUUCCAUGCAUUCUAUUUGGGUUAGGAUGCUUUUCUUCUGUCUGGCACGAUUCACAUUCGAUUUCAACGGCAAAAGAGCGAAACAGAAGACGGAUAAAGAACUAAAAAAGGAAAUGCAUGGAAUACAUAUCGUCCAUAAUACCAAAAGUUUAACGUACCAAAUCUGGAAAGGAAUAUAGUGGCGAAUUUUGUCUUUCCGGCCGAUGGAAUUGGCGUUUGCAACUCACCUUUUGCGAAGUCUUGGACAAGCGGAUCAAGAGCUGGAUCCUGGCGAAUCUUCGUUCAGACUUUAGAGAAAGAAGAAGAAGCGGAAAGUAGAAUGCUGCGUUCAUCAUAACUGCGUGAAAAUUGGAUUUACUCUAACAAAUCGACACAAGAACCUCUAUCGUCUCGAACGCACAGUAUUAACGUGUAGUUAUCCCUCUUGAUGUACCCAAAACGGUCAGGAAAGUCACACAUUUCGUACGAUUACGCAAGAUAGUGAAAACGCCCUGAUUGUCAAAUAGAAAUGGGUGCCACCAGAGACUUUGUGAUCGGGAGGGAAACCGAAACUCGAAGUUUUACGCCCAACGUACUACCCAUCAGCUGAAAAACACCACUUAUACACCUUUCUUUGGCAUAUGAAAUGGAAUCGUGGAUGCUGAUGAUAAACUAUCAUGAACUCUUGGUGAAAGUUGGUUUUAACUAACUGGAAAGAGACUCGACACUUCGCCAGUGUAGAAAUAGCUGGAUGUCUCAAGUAUAGCACCAACUCCACAAUUUGGAAUGAUCGUCAUCUCCCUUAUAAUUUUACUUUUACGAACAGUAGUGUUCGUGACAAAAUGCCACUCCGCAGCACCACCGUGGAAGAUUGUCCGACCAAGGCAGCUCUACAGGGCAAACCAGUGCCGAAAAUGGAAACAAUUCGUCGGUUGACGAAAUGUUGGCCCUAGUUUUGCAACGGAUUCAUCAUGGAAUGAAUGAUUCGAAGAACUUCUGCGUUUACCAGGACCUGGUCUGAAAGGCAUAUAAUUUCUAAGUGUUAACCUUAUUUUUCAUCUCUAUUCUAUAAAUUAACCGUAGAUUGAAAGUAAUCGGUUUCGAAUUGACCUGCGACGAACUCGCCCUAAAAAAUUUGCGCAAAGUAAACCCUCUUAUACAGAAACAAGUUAAGAUUUUGUUAAGGUGAAAAUCCUGAUUGAAAUUCAUUAGCACAUUUAGGGAGGUGAAGUAGUUUCCCGCGACAGGUUCCGUGAAUUUCCCCCUUUUAUCAUUUAUUGGCAUCUUCCAGUUGGGAAGUUAAGUGUCGAAGUGACUCACAAUAAUAGGCCCGUUUCAUUUAAUCCUAUCGAAGGGAAGGGAACUCUAACUCAAACACAGAUAACCUGCACAGUCACAGGCGGGAAAUAAUUCUUUUCUUCAGAAAAUUGUAAGUUCUUUUUUUGUCUGGACCUUCCAUACCCCCAAUCUCAUCAGAUUUAUUUGUAUGUGAUGUGUAUCUGAUUAUUCAUUUCUCGUGAGUCGUGAACUCGUGAUGUUAAGCUUCGGAAACAGAGUUCGGAUUCGGUUCGGAAAGCAAUCCAUCCGUUCCGUACAGUCAAAUGUGGUAAUCGUGAGGGAAUCUUUUGGCUGUCGGUAGGUGGCUAAAAUGGAUUGUCCCCCAUCCGCCAGGUGACGCAA